UACGUAGGGUGCAAGCGUUGUCCGGAAUUAUUGGGCGUAAAGAGCUCGUAGGCGGCCUGUUAAGUCGGACGUGAAAUCCCUCGGCUCAACCGGGGAACUGCGUCCGAUACUGGCGGGCUUGAAUUCGGGAGAGGGAUGUGGAAUUCCAGGUGUAGCGGUGAAAUGCGUAGAUAUCUGGAGGAACACCGGUGGCGAAGGCGGCAUCCUGGACCGACAUUGACGCUGAGGCGCGAAAGCCAGGGGAGCAAACGGG
Molecule: ribosomal RNA, 253 nt
Filed under: uncultured bacterium
Lineage: Bacteria
Description: partial 16S ribosomal RNA
Rfam family: Bacterial small subunit ribosomal RNA
Source: RNAcentral